AGCUUUCUGUGUCCGUGUCGAGAUUUUAUUGGUUACAAACUCACCAGUACUGACAAGACUCUAAAGAUAAGCAAACUG
Molecule: non-coding RNA, 78 nt
Organism: Schistosoma haematobium
Lineage: Eukaryota; Metazoa; Platyhelminthes; Trematoda; Strigeidida; Schistosomatidae
Source: Rfam